AACAUAGACGGUGGCGAUGAGGAGGAGGGAAACAUGGUUCGAGGAGGUGGAGAAAACCAUGGAUCAAUUUCUCAAAAUUUAUCAAAUAAAGGUAAAAGUAAAGAUAUUAAUAUAAUUACGCCACUAGUAAUUUGAAACAGAUAAUAACUAGGAUUUUUUAUUUUUAUUUUCUUCAGGUUUCACCGUUAUUAUUACAUAAAGUAGAAUGGAUGUAUCGAAAAUCUAGGGUAUUUGGUUAUUUAGUGAAUUAUGUUUUUUUUUUUCAUAUACAAACCAAUUUCCAAAGUUUAUAUGGCAUAAUCACUUUUCUCCAUAUGCUACCAUCGAAACAUUUACCGUUGCCAUCAAAUAGUACAAAAUAAAUAAAAAAAAGAAAAAAAAUUAAAUAGUACAACAUCGUAUCGCCUCCUACCGACCGGACUACUCAUGCGAACAAUUCCCUAGCAAAUCGCUUGGUAAACCUGCCGUAUGACACCACUCGUACAUGCACCGAUUCGAUUCUGUUCUCCAAAAAUAGGAGUAGUUUCGUCCUUCAUAGUCCAAAAGGAUAGUCAGCUUUCCCAUUUCAGAACCAAGAGGGCAA
Molecule: long non-coding RNA, 583 nt
Filed under: Brassica rapa (field mustard)
Lineage: Eukaryota; Viridiplantae; Streptophyta; Magnoliopsida; Brassicales; Brassicaceae
Description: long non-coding RNA (BRAP_LNC000997)
Source: RNAcentral